CUGAGCAUCACAGCCAGGCAGAUACUUGCAGUGCAGGAAAGUUUAAAUCCUAAACCAAGGCACUUGAGCAAGUUUGUGUAUCCCCUUAGGACUCUUGGUGUGGAUAAUGUUCCCCAGCAGAGGCUCCACCACUGAAUCUGCUGCAUUUGUUUCAAGAUUUUCCAGCUGAUGAGGGUUUAGAGUGUGAGAAGAAGCUGGGAACAGAGCAAUCCAUCAGGAGAGGCUGCUCAGGGAGAGCAAUGCCCGAGAGAGACAGAAAAGCCUUUUCAGGGUGCAGGCUCCAGCCCCCUGCCUUCCCUGGAGAAGACACCCAUGGAACAGGGAAAAGUCCUUUAAAAACCAGUCUCUCUUUGGAAGAUCUGCUGCAAUUUAAUUCCCAGGAGAGGCCCUUCCCCAGUGCUGGGCACACACCUGUCCCUGGGCUGCUCUCUGUGACACAUCAGAGGUGUGUGAAAUCAGCCACGGUCUGCAAUCCGCAGGACGGGAACUCUGGGGUCCAGU
Molecule: non-coding RNA, 501 nt
Organism: Cyanistes caeruleus (blue tit)
Lineage: Eukaryota; Metazoa; Chordata; Aves; Passeriformes; Paridae
Source: RefSeq, a predicted model, not a curated record